GCAUUAUACCGUGAAACUGCGAAUGGCUCAUUAAAUCAGUUAUCGUUUAUUUGAUAGUACCUUACUACUUGGAUAACCGUGGUAAUUCUAGAGCUAAUACAUGCUAAAAACCCCAACUUCGGGAGGGGUGUAUUUAUUAGAUAAAAAACCAACGCCCUUCGGGGCUUCUUGGUGAUUCAUGAUAACUUUACGGAUCGCAUGGCCUUGCGCCGGCGACGGUUCAUUCAAAUUUCUGCCCUAUCAACUUUCGAUGGUAAGGUAUUGGCUUACCAUGGUUUCAACGGGUAACGGGGAAUUAGGGUUCGAUUCCGGAGAGGGAGCCUGAGAAACGGCUACCACAUCCAAGGAAGGCAGCAGGCGCGCAAAUUACCCAAUCCCGACACGGGGAGGUAGUGACAAUAAAUACUGAUACAGGGCUCUUUUGGGUCUUGUAAUUGGAAUGAGUACAAUUUAAACCUCUUAACGAGGAACAAUUGGAGGGCAAGUCUGGUGCCAGCAGCCGCGGUAAUUCCAGCUCCAAUAGCGUAUAUUAAAGUUGUUGCAGUUAAAAAGCUCGUAGUUGAAACUUGGGUCUGGCUGGCAGGUCCGCCUCACCGCGUGUACUUGUCCGGCCGGGCCUUCCUUCUGGAGAACCUCAUGCCCUUCACUGGGCGUGUUGGGGACCAGGACUUUUACUUUGAAAAAAUUAGAGUGUUCAAAGCAGGCCUUUGCUCGAAUACGUUAGCAUGGAAUAAUAGAAUAGGACGUGCGGUCCUAUUUUGUUGGUUUCUAGGACCGCCGUAAUGAUUAAUAGGGACAGUCGGGGGCAUCAGUAUUCAAUUGUCAGAGGUGAAAUUCUUGGAUUUAUUGAAGACUAACUACUGCGAAAGCAUUUGCCAAGGAUGUUUUCAUUAAUCAGUGAACGAAAGUUAGGGGAUCGAAGACGAUCAGAUACCGUCGUAGUCUUAACCGUAAACUAUGCCGACUAGGGAUCGGGCGAUGUUCUUUUUCUGACUCGCUCGGCACCUUACGAGAAAUCAAAGUUUUUGGGUUCUGGGGGAG
RNAcentral lists this ribosomal RNA (1041 nucleotides) under Allophaeosphaeria muriformia. RNAcentral describes it as "SSU rRNA". It matches the Rfam family "Eukaryotic small subunit ribosomal RNA", at positions 71 to 1123 of the family's 1831-position model. The record is from RNAcentral. Lineage: Eukaryota; Fungi; Ascomycota; Dothideomycetes; Pleosporales; Phaeosphaeriaceae.